AAAGGGAAAAUACGCUAUAGUAUCUUCGGAUCGAUUGACCUCUUUAGAGGCCUAGGAGAAGUAUUUCUUACUUAUCAUGCUAGUUGUUUCAGUAAGGGUGAAACAAGGCCGUCACGGGUACGGAAAAUUGGGGUUUGACACCGGAGAGGGAGCCUGAGAAAUGGCUACCACAUCUAAGGAUGGCAGCAGGCGCGAAAAUUACCCAAUCCUAACAUUUGGGAGGUAGUGACAAGAAAUAACGUCCUUCCAUUCUUGGAAGGGUACCGCAAGGUUUGGAAUGGUUCUAGUUCAAAUUUCUAUUAGAGUAACAAUUGGAGGACAAGUCUGGUGCCAGCACCCGCGGUAAUUCCAGCUCCAAAAGCAUAUACUAAAAUUGCUGUAGUUAAAACGCUCGUAGUUUAUACAAGGGAUGCAAUUUGUAUGUUUCAGACUAUUGCUAGUUGCUGGCAAAUUCGUUUAUCGAUUAGUUAGUAACCAAGCGUAGUCUUUGCUUGGUUUUCCAAGUAAGCACGUUAGUGCCAAGGGUUUUGGGUCUCUUCUUACCAAAAAGUCUUGGCAUGUGUGGGGCAUAGAUUGCGUUCUGAUUCGAACCGUGAACAAAUUAAAGUGUUUAAAGCGGGCAUUGUACGUUCUUUGAACGUUUUGCUUGAAUAAUUUAGCAUGGGACUCAUUUUCCUUGCAAAAGGAUAAGAAAAAGGAGCCAGGAAGAGGACUCUGGUAUUGCGCGUUUAGAGGUGAAAUUCCGACAUCUUCGCAGGACGAACGGAGGCGUAGGCUGUCAUUGCCCAUCACAUCUCUAUUGAUCAGGAACGAAAGUCAGGGGAUCGAAGAUGAUUAGAUACCGUCGUAGUCCUGACCGUAAACGAUACUAACUCGAGUUUGUAUGUAACAGUUUUUCAAAAAUUGAUACAGAAUCCAAGGGAAACCGUUAAGUCUUUGGGUUCUGGGGGGAGUAUAGUCGCAAGGCCGAAACUUAAAGGAAUUGACGGAAAGACACCACCAGGAGUGGAGUUUGCGGCUUAAUUCGACCCAACGCGGGAAAACUCACCAGGAUAGGACAGAAUGAGGAUUGACAGGUUGAAUAUGGUCCUUUCUUGAUUUUUUGGAAGGUGGUGCAUGGCCGUUCUUAGUUCGUGGAGUGAUCUGUCUACUUAAUUGUGUUAACGAACGAGACCUUAACCUGUUAACUAGGCACUAGUUGAAUUUUAUUCAUGGGUUUCUUACGAAAUCUAGGUCAUUCGGGUUUUACCCGAGCUUCUUAAAGGGACAAUACUGUGUAUUUUAUAUUUUAGCGUAGGGAAGUUUAAGGCAAUAACAGGUCUGUGAUGCCCUGAGAUAUCCUGGGCGGCACGCGUACUACAAUGUCAUUGACAACAGGCUUUCCGCUUCGGCGGGCCUCUACCAAAAUGUAGGGGAAAACGUGUCAAACACUUAUAUGACUGGGAUAGCUGUUUGUAAUUACAUCUUAAACGAGGAAUUCCUAGUAAGCGCAAGUCAUCAUCUUGCAUUGAUUACGUCCCUGUCUUUUGUACACACCGCCCGUCGCUCCUACCGAUUGGAUAGCAAGGUGAACUUGAUGGACUCUAACGAGAAAAUUUAUUAAACCUUUCCAUCUCUAGGAAGGAGAAGUCGUAACAAGGUC
Molecule: ribosomal RNA, 1642 nt
Filed under: metagenome
Description: bacterial SSU rRNA
Rfam family: Eukaryotic small subunit ribosomal RNA
Source: RNAcentral